Molecule: long non-coding RNA, 1092 nt
Organism: Homo sapiens (human)
Lineage: Eukaryota; Metazoa; Chordata; Mammalia; Primates; Hominidae
Exons: 3
Source: RefSeq, a predicted model, not a curated record
AGAUUCAAGAGUACAUGUACAACAAGAGUACAUAUACAAGAGUACAACACGGGUUUGGUGUCCAGAUGAUUUUGUCAUCCAGACACCUUUUCCUAGACAACAUCCUGAAACAUAAGAAUAAGCACAAAAAUGAACAUAUUACAUCAAACGUACCACUGAGAAGAAUGGUAAGUUUAACAGUUUCCCACGUGGGAGGCAUAUUGACGAUUACAAUUUUAAGUUAGCAGAACACCAGCUCACAUGGAAACAGUCUCCUCCGUGAAUUCUUUCUUUGGCUGACAGACAUGAGAUGUUAGCUGUCUAAGAAGACCUUCACACCAACACCUUCUUAGAAGAUAUUGUAAGAUAACAAUCCUUGAGUGGAACCUGAAUUCUUUCUAAACACUGCAUGUAGGAAAACAAGAGGCAGUUCACACAAUCACUUAACACCUCUUCUUAAAAGUGAAUCCUUGAAGGAGUGGUGUUCAAAUAUUUAAGUACAUUAGAUACUUUAUACACGCCACAUCCAAAAUGCUCAGUAUUCCUAAUACAUUUCAUUUUCUCCCAAGUUUUAAUGGUUGAUGCACAAUCACAUUAAUUUCCUAUUAAUUUCUAGGAAUAUGUACACAGUAGCCUUAGGAGAAAGAAGAUAACUAUUACUUUACAUUUUUAACUGUUUUGUUUUCAUGUCCAUGAGAGAAAAAUUAAAGUAAGUUAAAAAAUUAACUCAGACACUCUAUUUAUUUUUAGGAAGACAUACACCCCCCACAGGGAGACUUUUACAUGUUGUAAUAAUGUUCACAAACAGCUACUCUUUAAGUGUAACACUAUUCUAAGCCUCUUUUCCUCCAUUUUAUUUCAUAUACAUUUAUGCAUCUGCAUGCAUAUAUAACCACAUGUAUUUAUAUUUAGUAGGUAUAGUUUAUUACACAUAAAUCUAAAUAUCUAUCAUAUACAGUAAAUUAGAACCUAGCAUGAUACUAGCCAUAUAUUAGAGAUUCAAUGAAAAUGGUGGCUGUUUAUAUACAACGUAUUCAUUAAAAAAACCCAAAACUGAUUAUAUGUGUCUUUAUUUGAUUAAAAUAAUGAUUAAAAAAAUGUAACCAGGCUGGG